UGGGGAAUUUUGGGCAAUGGGCGAAAGCCUGACCCAGCAACGCCGCGUGAAGGACGAAAUCCCUCUGGGAUGUAAACUUCGAAAGUCAGGAAAGAAAACCUACGUGAGAAUACCGCGUAGGGAUGACGGUACCUGACGUAAGCCCCGGCUAACUACGUGCCAGCAGCCGCGGUAAUACGUAGGGGGCAAGCGUUGUUCGGAAUUACUGGGCGUAAAGGGCGCGUAGGCGGCACGGCAAGUCGGGAGUGAAAGCCCGGGGCUCAACCCCGGAACGUCUUUCGAGACUGCCGAGCUAGAGUACGGAAGGGGCAACCGGAAUUCCCAGUGUAGCGGUGAAAUGCGUAGAUAUUGGGAAGAACACCUGAGGCGAAGGCGGGUUGCUGGGCCGAUACUGACGCUGAGGCGCGAAAGCCAGGGGAGCAAACGGG
RNAcentral lists this ribosomal RNA (428 nucleotides) under uncultured bacterium. Its description in RNAcentral is "bacterial SSU rRNA". It matches the Rfam family "Bacterial small subunit ribosomal RNA", at positions 355 to 776 of the family's 1533-position model. The record is from RNAcentral.